This 495-nucleotide ribosomal RNA is filed under the name uncultured bacterium. Its description in RNAcentral is "partial 16S ribosomal RNA". It matches the Rfam family "Bacterial small subunit ribosomal RNA", at positions 28 to 507 of the family's 1533-position model. The record is from RNAcentral.
GACGAACGCUGGCGGCGUGCCUAAUACAUGCAAGUAGAACGCUCAAGGAGGAGCUUUCUUCUCUGGAUGAGUUGCGAAGGGGUGUGUAUCGCGUAUGUAACCUGCCUGUUAGCGGGGGAUAACACUUGGAAACGCUAGCUAAUACAGCAUAAUAUUUGUUGUUCCAUGAGAUUUGCUUAAAAGAUGCAGUUUUGUUGUUACCUAUUGGACCUUCGUCGUAAUAGUUGGUUGGUGGGGUAGUGGCUCACUAAGGCGACGAUACAUAGUCGACCUGCGAGGGUGAUAGGCCAAACUGGGAAUGAGACACGGCCCAGACUCCUACGGGAGGCAGCAGUAGGGAAGCUUCGGCAAUGGACGGAAGUCUGAACGAGCAACGCCGCGUGAGUGAAGAAGGGUUUCGGAUCGUAAAGAUCUGUUGUAAGAGAAGAACGAGUGUGAGAGUGGAAAGUUCACACUGUGACGGUAUCUUACCAGAAAGGGACGGCUAACUACGUG